AGUUUGAUCCUGGCUCAGGAUGAACGCUAGCGGCAGGCCUAAUACAUGCAAGUCGAACGGUGUAGCAAUACAUAGUGGCGCACGGGUGCGUAACACGUAUGCAACCUACCUUAUACUUAGGGAUAGCCUUUGGAAACGGAGAUUAAUACUUAAUGGUAUAUUUAGCUGGCAUCGGUUAGAUAUUAAAGAUUUAUUGGUAUAAGAUGGGCAUGCGUCCAAUUAGUUAGUUGGUGAGGUAAUGGCUCACCAAGACGAUGAUUGGUAGGGGAACUGAGAGGUUAAUCCCCCACACUGGCACUGAGAUACGGGCCAGACUCCUACGGGAGGCAGCAGUAGGGAAUAUUGGGCAAUGGAGGGAACUCUGACCCAGCCAUGCCGCGUGCAGGAUGAAGGCGUUAUGCGUUGUAAACUGCUUUUAUAUAGGAAGAAACAGACCUUGCGAGGUAAAUUGACGGUACUAUAUGAAUAAGCACCGGCUAACUCCGUGCCAGCAGCCGCGGUAAUACGGAGGGUGCAAGCGUUGUCCGGAUUUAUUGGGUUUAAAGGGUGCGUAGGCGGUUUAUUAAGUCAGUGGUGAGAGACGGUCGCUCAACGAUUGCAGUGCCAUUGAUACUGGUAGACUUGAGCGUGAUUGAGGUAGCUGGAAUGGAUAGUGUAGCGGUGAAAUGCAUAGAUAUUAUCCAGAACACCAAUUGCGAAUGCAGGUUACUAAGUCACAACUGACGCUGA
This 729-nucleotide ribosomal RNA is filed under the name uncultured bacterium. RNAcentral's name for it is "bacterial SSU rRNA". It matches the Rfam family "Bacterial small subunit ribosomal RNA", at positions 10 to 749 of the family's 1533-position model. The record is from RNAcentral.